GGAAGUAAAAGUCGUAACAAGGUUUCCGUAGGUGAACCUGCGGAAGGAUCAUUAGCGAAGUCCGGAAUGCGCGCGAGGCGCUGAGCUGCCCAGCAAUGGGAUGUGCUCGCCCUUGUGCGUGUCCCUUCACUAUCCACCCCACUGUGAACCAAGUGUGCGAGCCGAAGAGAGAUCGGAAGCUCGCAUGCAACCCUUAACAUACCCCAAUGAAGUAUCAGAAUGUACCUUGCGUUAACUCGCACAAAUACAACUUUCAACAACGGAUCUCUUGGCUCUCGCAUCGAUGAAGAACGCAGCGAAAUGCGAUAAGUAAUGUGAAUUGCAGAAUUCAGUGAAUCAUCGAAUCUUUGAACGCACCUUGCGCCCUUUGGCAUUCCGAAGGGCACGCCUGUUUGAGUGUCGUGAACUCCUCCACCCUCUCCUUUUUCGAAAGGUGUUGGGCUGGGAUUUGGGAGCUUGCAGGUCCCUGGCCGAUCUGCUCUCCUUGAAUACAUUAGCGAAGCCCUUGCGGCCUUGGUGUGAUAGUCAUCUACGCCUCGGCUUAGCGAACUUAUGGGAGUCGCUUCCAAUCGUCUUGCAAGAGACAACUUUUACCAACUUGACCUCAAAUCAGGCGGGACUACCCGCUGAACUUAAGCAUAUCAAUAAGCGGAGGA
Molecule: ribosomal RNA, 656 nt
Filed under: Peniophora incarnata
Lineage: Eukaryota; Fungi; Basidiomycota; Agaricomycetes; Russulales; Peniophoraceae
Description: eukaryotic LSU rRNA
Rfam family: 5.8S ribosomal RNA (bases 249-402)
Source: RNAcentral